AUUGAACGCUGGCGGAAUGCUUUACACAUGCAAGUCGAACGGCAGCACGGACUUCGGUCUGGUGGCGAGUGGCGAACGGGUGAGUAAUAUAUCGGAACGUGCCCAGUCGUGGAGGAUAACGUAGUGAAAAUUACGCUAAUACCGCAUACGAUCUAAGGAUGAAAGCGGGGGAUCGCAAGACCUCGCGCGAUUGGAGCGGCCGAUAUCAGAUUAGGUAGUUGGUGAGGUAAAGGCUCACCAAGCCAACGAUCUGUAGCUGGUCUGAGAGGACGACCAGCCACACUGGAACUGAGACACGGUCCAGACUCCUACGGGAGGCAGCAGUGGGGAAUUUUGGACAAUGGACGCAAGUCUGAUCCAGCCAUUCCGCGUGCAGGACGAAGGCCUUCGGUUGUAAACUGCUUUGUACAGAACGAAAAGGUCUCUAUUAAUACUAGGGCUCAUGACGGUACUGUAAGAUAAGCACCGGCUAACUACGU
RNAcentral lists this ribosomal RNA (479 nucleotides) under uncultured bacterium. RNAcentral's name for it is "bacterial SSU rRNA". It matches the Rfam family "Bacterial small subunit ribosomal RNA", at positions 30 to 506 of the family's 1533-position model. The record is from RNAcentral.